CUGGGAGAGCCCUGGUGGGUGGAAGGCUGGCUGGAGGUGAGUGGACAGGGCAGGGUCUUGAAUGCUAGGCCAAGGAGCUGGACAUGAAGGUGGACAGAACACUAUCUGAGGAGUCAAGAGGUUUUGGUUAGUCCCUCGAGUUGGUCUCCUGGUCUGCUUUUGAGGUCAGACAGGAGAUGGGAGACCUGGCCGCACACCUAACCUUCAUACCCCUUCAGUCCAUGACCAUACGGGUCUAAGGAGCCAUAGAAAACACCCAAGCAGGGAGGGACCUAUGGAGGGGGAGGCCCAGCUGCCAGGAAUAUUCUCCCAGCUUCUCAACUGCAGGCCAGAGGGCUUCCUAAAUAAGGAUUUAAGAAAAUGUUGGGGGGUGUGGUCCCAGCUCUGUAAUUUUCCCAGCUUGGCUGCUGAUUCCCUGUGCACCUCCUGCUGGGCCUCAGUCUCCACAUCUAUAACAUGGGACCAGUGCCCAUACACUGUGAGGGCAGGCUUCUGAGGCCCCCACUGUCCGCAGCUAGUCUGAGCUCCUUCUGAGGGUCACAAGACCUUGCCUGGUCAACCUUGACAACCCCUCGGCCUCACUUUGGACAUCUUCCUCCUGCUCUAAUCGCACUGAUACCAACAGCUUCCUUCCAGUUUCUCUAACAAGAUAAGCUCUGGUCUCUGGGUCUCCAAAAACACUCCUUCCUUGUCCUGGCCUUCACCUGGUUCAGCUCCAGCCUCAAUAAAUACCACUGCCACCGGGAAGCCUUCUCAAGCCCUCUGGCCAGACAGGCCUUGGCAAUAUGCCUGUAGCCCACGUCCCACGCCAGGGGUCAAGCGCACAACACGGAGGGCAUCAGCUUCGGGCAGCGGCAAACCAGUCCUCUGCCCGGAACAAGGGCUGCCUGUUGUGGCCACUCAGACCCGGGAGCUGCAAAUGUUGCGACUCUUGAACAUGUUUCUGGAACCCGGUGCCUCGGGUACUGCAGGCUGUGCCACUCUGCUGCCUCGGCCGCGUUGCUCCUGCGGCUGGAGGUGCUCACGGUGCGGCCCCAGGAAGCCCGAGGCUGCUGCGGAUCCACUGUCGCUGUGAAGCCUCCCUCACAGCUGUCCCUGCACCAGCACCACUGCCGCCCCCUGGCCACCACUUCCCUUUGUCUUCCCAGGUGGUGAGCUCCACAAGGGCGGGACCUUGUCCGUUCAGCCCACAGCAGUGUGCCCGCAAUACCCAGCACAGCGCCUGGCCUCCGUCCACGCUCAGUUAGUGCUCACGGAACCAAUCACGGAUGAGGGGGAGCCGGGGACCACUCUGGGCGCCAGGGAGCUGCCAUAGCCUUGAGGGUGCACGGCGAGCUCUGAGCUCUGCAUGGCUGUGACCCACCGUCUUUACUUGGCACUCCUGGUUUUUUGGGCCAGAGUGGGUGGUGAUUCCAAAGUGCAGAUGAGGCAGCUUGGCUGUCAGGCAGGGGUGGCCAGCCCUCAGUCAUCGGCUCCGGUGGUGGCCUGGCAGCUCUCUUCUCUGUCCACUCCAGGCCCAGCCUAACCCAGAGGCUGAGCCGGCAGUGGCCGCCCAGGG
This is a long non-coding RNA of Myotis davidii, 1558 nucleotides long. RefSeq lists it as uncharacterized. NCBI's taxonomy places the organism in Eukaryota, Metazoa, Chordata, Mammalia, Chiroptera, Vespertilionidae. The record is from RefSeq and is a predicted model, not a curated record. The transcript is spliced from 3 exons.